GCGAGGAAAAUACAUGAAAAUAAGAAAAUUUACCGUAAUUUUGAUGAGGACUAUGAUGGACAGCUGUAAAAAUAGGUUCCAUAGUAGAUAGGGCAACUAGGUUCAUAAUUAGAUCUAUCCAUUUCCUAGGAGUCAUUUAUUAGAAAUGCAGAAGGCAUGUGAAAUUUUCUAUAUGGAUUCAAAUACAUCAAAUAACAAUAAUAAUGGCAUAAUUAUUUUGCACUGCACUUGUGGUU
RNAcentral lists this unclassified non-coding RNA (236 nucleotides) under Hevea brasiliensis (rubber tree). Lineage: Eukaryota; Viridiplantae; Streptophyta; Magnoliopsida; Malpighiales; Euphorbiaceae. The record is from RNAcentral.